CCUCCCGCCCACCUCACAGAAAAAUUAAACUUCUGAGGGAAAUAAAACAUAAAAAGCCACGGCGGUGCGCGCGGGGGCGGGAAUUCGGUGUGGUUGGGGCUUACCGAGGGCUGAGUUUCCCCGCUGGGCAGCUCAGAGGUGCCUCAGGCUCCAGCGUGUGGCUGCUGCGUGGUUUGGUCAGUUGUCGCUCUUCAUAAGGGUUAAAUAAUAUAAAAGCACAGCCCUUCGGCUAUUUUUGUAUUUUAUUUUUGCAAGCUAAAAGCCUCUAGUAUAACUAUAUCAAUGUAUAUCAGAGCUUUCCAAAAUAAUUCCCUAUCAAUAAGGCACUGCAGGCCUGGAGUCUAUACAGGCCAAAAGUCAAACAGCAAGAGGCUGCAGAGAGGACUGGACAGAAACAAAUAAGUAUUUAGACCAAUUUAGUCCACUUGUACUUUGUACAGACAACAAAUUCCUACAUCAUUGUCUGCGUGCUCGUGUAAGGGAAACUGACCAGGGUAGGAGUAAAGGGGAUAUCUCUGUGGGGCAGGGGGAUGGUGGGUUGAACUAUGGUGUCUUGCUUUCCCUGCAGGUUGAAAGUACAGAAGCUGAGCUGAGCAGGAGGAAUGUGCCUCAGAGGUAAAGAUGAGGAAUAUGCACUUGAAAAGAAGGUGACUGCACCUGAAGGCAACACUCAGAAGAGGAAGGUGUAUGCAUGCUAAUGAGAUGUGUACUUUCACUUCGGAUUGAAAUCACCAUUACCAUCAAGGAAGUCCAGCUUCUGGUGUUGCUUCUACGAACCUGUUCUGGUCCUCACUGGAAUGAUCUUGCUCACUUCACUAACCCUAAGAAAACAGGUAUUUUACAGCCACGUUAUUGUGAUAAAUCUUCUCCCCAAAGGUCUGGUGAAAGUCCAGGAUGGAAGGAUACAAAACCUGGUUCAGCUGGCUUGUUUGUCCUGAAGACUUCAUCCUCAGUGACUGCAGCUUGUGGUUUGGAAGCUCAGAUGCUUCAGUGA
Molecule: long non-coding RNA, 994 nt
Filed under: Calidris pugnax (ruff)
Lineage: Eukaryota; Metazoa; Chordata; Aves; Charadriiformes; Scolopacidae
Description: lncRNA (ENSCPUG00000017152.1)
Source: RNAcentral